ACAGAAGCCCCAUCCCCACAGCCACAGGCACCAAGGCGAGAGAGAAAGAAAGAGCAGGGAGGCGGGCGAAGCGCAGGGAGAGAAGCAGAGAAGAAAUAUUCACCUUCCCGCCUCAUGCCCACUUUGAGGCACUUCUUGAGGCGGCAGUAUUGGCACUGGUUGCGGUGGUGCUGGUCGAUGGGACAGUUCCUGUUGGCACGGCAUGUGUGGCCAUGGUGUAGCAGAUUGCUGCAGAUGGUUUCAAUAGUCCUGCUGAAUGCUCCUCGUCUGUGCCUGCAAGAGGAACUCAAGGCUUUAUGUAUGGCCAUUGCUGUGACCUAGUGUGAUGCUCUACUUUUCCACUGAACUCUGCUUGCUCUAACUGAGGACCUUAGCUAUAAUUUAGCCUUUUCUUUUUAUAUUAAGCUGUUGUUGAGGAAGGAGCUUUGGCAAUAGAAGAAAGCAAGCAGCAGGUUCAUUUCCACUGUUGACACAACUGGAAACGGAUCCCUACUUUAUGCAUUGGAGAUGCUAUGAAGACUACUCUGUCUGAUGUUUCCCUAUUGGGGUAGUGAAGUGUGAUGCUUCAUUGGUUGAGUGUAUGCAAUCAAAGUAAGAGUGAAAAAGGAAGAUCUGAGGAGUGGGCAGAUGCCUGCCGGGUAAACUAUUUGUGGCAUAAACUUGAGGACCCCACAGGAAAGCCAGAUGUUGUCAUGUGCUUCUAACCACAAUUCUGCUAUUGAAUGGGGGAUUACUGGCCAGUGACUAGCCAAAAUGGUGAGCUUCAUGUGCUGAGAGAACUACCUAUCUCAAAAAAAUAAGGUGAAAGGGCUAGAGAGGUGGCAAAGUAGCACUGACUGAUCUCUCAGAGGAGAACGUGGAUUCAACUCCUAGCACCCACAUAGCAGCCAACAACCAUCUGUAACUCCAGUCUCAGGGGAUUUAGUGCCUUUUUAUAUCCUCAGUGAACACUGCACAUAUAUUGUGCAUAGACAUACAUUCAGUCAAACAAACACUCAGACACAUAAAAAUAAAUGAAAUCUCAAAAUAUUUUAAAAAGAUAAUGUGGAGGGUGAUUGAGGCCUUAUAUUAAUCUUUAGACUUUACAAAAUGAGUUUUACACACACACACACACAAAACACACAAACACACUAUAUGUACACACACAUAUAUACACUGACACACACACUUGAAAAAUUGUUAUUGUUUAAAAUUUUUUGAUAACUUGUCUCAGAAUUUUUAUUAUUGAUUUUAUUAUAAUAUUUAUUUUGAGUCUACAGUAAAUCUUUAUGCUGGAACUAGACUUCAGGAUUAUUAUAAGAUACAUUUAAUGUAUAAAUUUGAGUUCAUAAUGGCGAGAAUAAUUCUUUUAUGGCUGUGGUAAUAAAGUAUCAUUAUCUUCUUAGAUCUAAUGUAAGAUUCAAACUCUGACCCACUAACUUCCAAGUCCCUUCUUAAAAGUGCUGUAUUAAACUGCAUGAAACU
RNAcentral lists this long non-coding RNA (1464 nucleotides) under Mus spretus (western wild mouse). Its description in RNAcentral is "RIKEN cDNA A830082K12 gene (ENSMSPG00010001393.1)". The record is from RNAcentral. Lineage: Eukaryota; Metazoa; Chordata; Mammalia; Rodentia; Muridae.